Molecule: long non-coding RNA, 30723 nt
Filed under: Coffea arabica (coffee)
Lineage: Eukaryota; Viridiplantae; Streptophyta; Magnoliopsida; Gentianales; Rubiaceae
Description: long non-coding RNA (CARA_LNC001016)
Source: RNAcentral
UUUUUUUUUUUUUUUUUUUUUUUGGUGGGCAAGCUCCUAGCCUCACAUUAAAAGCGUAAUUUUCUCAUUAUUGCGUUUUCCAAAUUGGUGUCGUUUUCAAAAAAUUAGUACAUAAUUUUUAUUCUUUUGCCACUCCUAUUCCUUGUCCUUUUUAGAAAGAUAAUAUACACCAUUCAAAUUUCUUAAUGUGGAGGGUGAACUUUGAAAACUCUGUGUAAGUAUCACCAUUAGGUCAUUAUUGUUAAAAUGUUGAGUUGCCCAAAAAUGACAAAUAUUUGGGAUGGAGGGAUUGAUUAGUAAAGUAAACAUAGGAAAUACAAAGAAAGCAAGAAAGAAGUGCAAAGAAAAUUCAUAAUGGUAGCUUUCUACACCAAUCAGAUGUAUGUGUAUACUUUUAUAUAUAUAUAUAUAUAUAUAUAUAUAUGUAUGUAUUCUUUAUUACUCGUUAGACGUUAUAUUUUUCAUUCCAUAAAGUAAGUAUACAUUAGUAUUUUGGGAGUUCACAAACAUUGUCACAUUUUUAAUAUUAUACUUCUUUACCCCACAUAAUAAAGUGACACAUGUUCCUUUAUUUUACAUUAACGAUGGCCAUGAAUCAUGUAAGAAUAGUCUGUGGAUGAUAUCUUCUAACUAAUAUUAAAUUAAAAGGCACAUCACGCCCCAAUCCAUGGUGUAAAAGAGUUUUGGAUUCAAAUCCUCUUUCUCCAUUUUUACUUUUUAAAUCUCACACGUCCCUUGGUAAUUUUUUUUUUUAAAAGUUUUAUAGGGUAAAAAGGAUUUCCAAAAGGCAAUAGAAAUUUCCAAAAUUUCAGAUUAAAGUGAAGUAGUGUGUCCUGAAUGAUUCACAAAAAAGAUUUUCAUUGCUUAAUCCUUUUCCCCUUUGGAUUUCAAUCCGCAUAACCUGCUUUAUAUGCUACCACUUAAUCAACCCGCGCUUAAUGAUUCAAAUCCAAAAUUCACGCUUCUCAGCUAAACACAGUCCACGCUUUCUCGAAACUAUCUUAACCAUUCUAAGUCCAUUCCGGGCAAGCAUGCAGAUCUUCGUCAUAUCCCAAAGCAGCAGGACCAUUGUUUUCGAGGUGGAAAUUUCCGAUACCAUCCAAGUCGUCAAGGCCAAGCUUCAGCUGAAAGAUGGAAUCCCUCCUCAGCACCAGAGCCUCGUAUUGGCCGGCAAACAACUAGAUGAAGAUCGCACACUCGAGGAUUACGACAUCUAGGAGAACUCCACAUUAAUGGCAAGGCCGAGGUACACUGACCAGCGAUGUUUUUAAACUUGGACCGGUCAGCGAACCGGAGAGGUGGCCGGUUCGCGGUUCGACCGGUCCAACCGGCCGGUUCACAGGUUCACUGUUUUGUUUUUUUUGUUUUUACUAAGCAAGUUUCAUUACUUGACAGCUAAUGUACAAUUUAAUAUAAUUAUUGAUAACUUAAGUUUCUAAAAUGCAUUCACCAACAUAACUAAAUUUAAGUUGAAAUAAUAAUAAAUUUCCUAAAAGUUAUACAUAAAACAUGGAAUGAUAAACAUAAUUAAAAUAUCAUAAUUCACCACAAGUUUUCAUAAAUUCAUUAUAAACAUAAAUAGAUACAAUCCAAAUGUUCACCAAUUAUCACAAAUAAAAACACAAAAAAUAACUAAAAUAAAUAUUGAAAUUCUUUUACAAUCCUUAAAAAAAUCCAUAAAAGAGUUCAACUCAAGACAAACCAUUUGAAUGACAAACUUCCAUUAGUGGCAUGACAAGUAGCAACAACACCACCUUCACAAUUUCAUCAACUUAACUUGGAAAAGUUAAAAUUUUAUUAUAAAAAUAUAAAUUAAUUGCUCAAACUAAAAAAAACUAAAAAAAUUUGAAAAACAAAUAUACAGCUAAACACAUUAAAAAUUAAUUAUUACUAAACAUCACUAAUUAACAUGUUAUAUUAAAUUCAAUGAUCCUAUACAAUUAAUUAUUUUAAAUUCAAUGAUCAAUAGCUUCGAUUAUAUGCCAACUAACAUAUUUUUUACCAGCCUAAUGUUAUUAUUUGUAAGUCCUACCCAAUUCCUACAUGGAGGUGUGCUACUUUUGCAAAAAUUUCAUCCUUAAUUACUCAAAUAAAAAUAAAACAAAAAUUAGGGAAACAGAUGAAAAUUGGGGGGGAGGGAAAAAGAAGAAAAUGCAAAAAAAAAAUCAACUAAAGAUAAUAAUAUAGAAAAAAAAGCUUGAAAAGAGAAAAAUUAAACUUACCAAAAUGAUGGAAAACAAGAAAAGUUGAAAUUUCCAACUUGUUUACAAUCUGCCAAAGAUGAUAACCUGAUAAUAAUGGUGAAGACUUGAGAAAAUCUUGUUGUGGAUAUUUGGGUUUAAAAUGGUUAUGAAGAAAAAAUUGAAAAAAAAAAUCAAGAGAAGAACUAGAGAGCGCCGCCUAAUGAAGCCGAGAAAGUAAUUGAUGGAAAGAAAAUUUAGAAAAGUUCAUCUGCAUUGAUGCACUUUGCUUUUUCUGUACCUGAUAUUUUAAUAUAUUUUUAGUCAAAUAGAAUUGUCAACAAGCUUAACUAUGGUCUAGUGGUAAAAUUGUCAUAUGUAAAUGUGGAAGCUUAGGUUCGAAUCGGAGCUACACCAUUUUUGAUAUUUUGUUGAGGAAUUAAAAAAACCGUCGGUUUACGGUUCGAACGGUUCAUCCGGUUUUCAAUGGUUUUCAUGAACUUCCGGUUUUAGCACUAGAUCGGACCGUUGACAUGUCCGGUUCGUGGUCCAACCGGUUGAACCGACCGGUCCGGUCCGACUCUGAAAACAUUGCUGACAAGAGAAAAUUCCAUCAUAUGCAGCCAUAUGAUCCUCCCAAUAAACCUCACAAAAGCACCCUCCCCAAAUCUUUGUCGGAAAACAGUCCACAAAAGUACCCGCCCGUGUUUAUCAUAGUAAUCGUUUAUUUUUUUGGUUAAUUGUACUGCUUCUUGAUGCUAACUAUGACAGGUUUCUUGACGUUAUUAGAUGCCAUUUAUGUUUUUUUAGCAAUGAUCAGUUAAUUGGAAAUCUUUUAUCUUGUAUUAUUGACUGGAAUUUGAAUUCUUGCGGUUAGAUUUUAUGUUCUUUACUGAUUAGCGAUACAGAAUUAAGCUAAUACAGAAUUAAUUCAUCUUGUAUUUAUGAUUGGAAUUUCUUCAUAUCAAUAAAUAUAGUAUCCCUAGACAUUGCACCUUUUACAUGGCUUAAUUAUAUAAAUAGUUAUUGACGAAAAAAAAUUAUAUAAACUGUUUGGCUAAGUUGUGCACCACUCACUCAUUAAUAGGGGUUUCAAGUAUUAGUUUUUUAGAAAAGUACAAAUAACAUGGAAAAAUGUAUAAAAACAAGGACAUAAUAAUUGUGAUUGUGUGUAUCAACAUAACAAAUUAGGGAAAAAUGCACUUUUCAUCCUUAAAGUUUGGGUUGUUAACCAAUUUUAUUCUCAAAAUUUCACCCAAAACGCAUUUUAUCCUCAAAGUUAGUAAUUUUGGCCAAUUAAGGACAAUUGACGGGAAUUGGCAAAUUUAUCGUUAGAACCAACUGUAAACCCAACAAAAAAUGGGUAAAAUCGAAUGGAACCGUAUUUCACAGCAGACGCUAAAAUACAAAGGGAUCAGUCACCAAGGUCAUGGCCCAGAAAAGUCAGUAGCUCUCUUUCCUAUGUUAUUGAUCCCUCCUUCUUGGACUUGGGAUCGCGAAAAAUCUAGAUGGGGACAAAGGAAACCCAUAACCAGGAGAAGGAGGCACUUAAGGCCCCGGGCCUAGUAUCCCUGAUUGAGCCAUUGGAGAAAGUGAGAAAUUUGGAGUCAUUGGAGAAGGGUGCUGAAAACUAGGAGAAAGCAAUGGAUACGAUGAUCUAGGAGAAAACAAAUUUAAGAAACCAGUUGGUGAUGGCAAAAGAAACUGAGAAGUUGGGGAAGGCAAAAGUGGAUGUGGACCAUUUAUUCGAGGUGAAGGAAGAGAGGGUGGAGGACCAUUCAUCCUAGGAGAUGGAAAAGGAGGAGGACCGUUCAUCCUAGGAGAUGUAAGUGGUGGAGGCAUGUUCAUUCUUGGAGAUGGGAUAGGCGGCAUAUGCGGAUUAGGAAGUAAACCAGAAGCAGAUGGCUGAGCUUGAUUUGGACCAAGACCCUGAGGUAUUAACUAGGGAAAAGGUUGCCUUGGCCCUGAAUCUAUGAUUGAAUUUUGAAGGUAUCGCAUGUAAGCUGAUAUAGGAGACUCAGCUGUGUUUGGCCAAGCAUCACCAGGAAUGAAGGGUGGCAACAUAGUUGGUGAUGGUUGGCCAUACUGGGGGAGAGGAGGUCUUGUGAAGUUGUUGUUGUAUGGAACACUAGCUGGAGGCUGUGCGGGAGCUGGCACUGGUACAGGAGGUUGAAUCGUCAUAGGAGGUCGAUUUAUUGGUGUCAAGGGCGGUGGCUGAAUCUUCUGCAACCGCAUACUUGCAGGUUUGGGGGGAUUUUGGGGAGGCCUAGGAGCAGGUGGUUCUUGAUUAUUCGAAGGUGAACCAGCAAACUGUUGCACUAUGUUUCGAAAAUCAUUUUUAUUAAUAUUAUACACCUAAGGCUGAGGUUGCUGCUUGGCAGUUUUAGUAAAAUUGGGUCGGUACAUUGGACUCUUCUUUAUGUUCUUCCCUAUCUUAUUCACACCCAAAUGAUCCGUAUGCCGAUUCAUCUGCCUAUUGGUACUAUCCAUAUCAACACCUUGAACCGACCAACAAAUUCAGAAUGGUGCAAGCUCAAAUUUCUUUUCUUCUUCAGCUAGUGAAUCCAACAAUUACCAUCUUAAGCAUCAAAACACCAACUGAUGAUCAAACCAAAGUAAAACUCAAAACUUUUGUGUAUUGAUUUUGAUGAUGUUUUUGCAGGGAUGAAGAUUAAGACAGACACACCUCUUGCCAAGAAGGCACGAGAAAGAGUUAUGGAAUUUUGCUAAUGAAUCAUCCGUUGGAUUGCCCAAUUUGUGAUCAAGGUGGGGAAUGUGGCUCCAUUCGGUUUUACCCAUUUUUUUGUUGGGUUUAUAGUUGGUUCUAACGAUAAAUUUGCCAAUUCUCGUCAAUUGUCCUUAAUUGGCCGAAAUUACGUAAUUUUGAGGAUGAAAUGUGUUUUGGAUAAAACUUUGAGGAUGAAAUUGGUCAACAGCCCAAACUUUAAGGAUGAAAAGUGCAUUUUUCCCUAACAAAUUAAGUAAUUUGUGUGUGCUAACUAGUGCUCAUUGGAUACUGAUCACUAGAAAAACCCUUACAUAAAUCAAGAAAGAUUAAUCUUACCUAAUUGCAAAACUAAGGUUACUCAUUGACAAAGUAUAAAUUGUUUUUCUUUUUGGUAAUUUUGUAAAUUGAUUUUUUAUUUGUUCAUGAAAUAAUGUCUUGACUAUAAGGAAAAAACAAAAUAUUGGGCUUAACUUAAUUUUAAUAAUAAUUAACAUCAAACCGUGAUUUUUUACAUUGAGGCCAUAAAAUCAUAGUAAUUCAUCAGACUUUCAGAGUUUUACAACACACUUUGUUGGGGAAAAAAUGGGAAAAAGAAUACACAACUGCAAACAUAAUCUAUUGUAUCUCCAGUUUAUCACGAGAGUCGGUGUCUCCUAGGCUACCGAUACCAAAAGGAUAAGCAUUAAGUAAUGAGGAUAAUGCAGAGUAUGCCAAUCUGGAAGAUGCUUCGUACACUAUUUCACUGGGAUGGAAAUCAUCCCAGAAAUAAUAUUCGUUUCUGUUGCUGCAGGGAAUUUGUCCAGGAAUGCAUUGUCCAGCACUAACUGUUGUAGACACAUUGCAGCAUGGUGCUUUAUCAAUUGUAAUUUCUGAGAUAGAUUUAGUGUAAGAAUGAAUUGAAAAAAGAAAAAAAAAACACAGUAUCAAAGAAAAAUGUGGAAGUAGACGUGUAGAAGAUAGAUGUACAAUGACGUUUUUUCUUUUUUUUCUUUUCUUUUCGUUUUUGUUUCUACAUAAACUGAAAUUUCCUAAGUGAACCUUAUGUAUCCAACUACACAUUCAAAUGGAAGCAUCAAUUUUUAGAAAAUGGCAAGUGGCAAGAUAGGAUAAUUUUGCUUUUAUAUUUACAUGUGAAAUGCUGAGUAGCUGAAGUGUUUCUAAGUCAAUCGUUCCAUUAAAACGUUAAUUUGCUUCAUUGGACUUCGAGUUUAUGCAAGUAUAUAUACUGAUGAAUUAUCAUUCCAUAUAGUAGCAACCAAUAUUUCGUGUUCAAAUGGUUAAAAGAUAAGAAAUCUAAUUGUUCAAAAUGUAUUAGACGGUUUAGAUCAUUUUAUUAGGAAAGGUAUGAAAAAUAAGAACCAAAAAAAAAAAAUUUUCAUAGAAGGGUACAACUUUUGGUAAAUAAGGGUAUGGGUAUUGUUCAUUGAUUAAAACAGUUAAUAAAUUUAUUGUUAAAUAACUAGAUCUUGUUUGAUAACCCAAUUCAGCACUUAAAUUUAAUAAUUUCAUAUUUUAACAUAUUCAGACUCGUUUGAUAAUAAAAAAUAAAACAUCUAAAUUAAUUAAGUGACACUGAAUUUUCUAAGCAAAAUUUGUUCGAAAAAUAAGUGAUAAGUUAUUCAUUUAUUACUUAAUAUGGUAUAUACUCAAAUAUAUUAGAUUUAGUGCUUAAUAAUUCAGUAACUUAAUGAAUUCAAAUUUUAGAUUUCAUAUUUGAAUUUUCAUAUUUCAGUUUUAUCAAACGCAUUCUAAAUCACCUUCAUAGAAUUGUGCACUCUAGUGUAUAGGGCAUCUACACAAAUAUUAUAUUAAGAGAUAAACUCUUUGGUUUAUGAGCCUCUUCAUUUUGAUAUUGCAUUAUCAUGAUUUUCAUAAACUUCAAAAGAAAACAACCCAAGAAUGUUAAAUGUGGUAACUAACCAAAUAAUUGCCAACUUGCAUCUUUUUCAAAGAAUGAAAUUAUUAUCCACACAUUUUACCUCAGUCUUUAUAACAAAAAUGUUGUAAAAUUAAGUUCAAUAAGCUUAUUUUGUAACCAAAACCUUGAUAUUCUUUUCGAUUGCAUGAACAUCAGGUUUGCCUUCAUCACCGUCCUAUAUUAUCUGUGCAGGUUGAGUCUAAAUAAACACUUUCGGUUUCCAUAAAGUAGAAGUUCCAACGUACCUGCAGGCAUAGUGCUCAAAGUGAUUGCUGUCACAUUUACAUAGAUAAAAUGUGCACUGCUUAACUCGGCAUUCAGUUCAUCGACCAGUGGCUUGAGCUCCUCAUUGAAUAACUGAACUUCACUAUUUAAAGAAUCCACACAUGUACCAUCUAUAGAUAACAAACCAGGCACACAACCAAGGAAACCUAGCCCAAAAAUAGCUAUUUUUCUUGCCCCCAAUCUGUACAAUUUCUAGCACCAAAAGGGAUACGAGUUAGGUUUUUUCUUUUUCUUUUUUAAAUGUAUAUUCAACGUGAACAUCAAAAUUUAAUGAUGGAAAAUGGAAAUUUGUUAAAAGAAAAUAAUUAUACGAACCCGUAGUUGCUGAGAAUAUUCUUUAAUCAACAUUCUAGCAAAUUGUCUUGGAGUACAUAGGCGGCUUGCAGCAUAACAUUCUGGCAGUAAGUAGCUGUCGAUGUAAUCGUUACUUCCAAUUGCAAAAGUAUACAAACAUUUGGCUAGGUAUUCUUUUGUUGCAGCUUCGUUCCCAAUUAAUCUCACAAGCUGCGAAGUUACUCUUCUAUGAUUUUGCAAUUGUUGGUUGAGGCUGACGAUAUCGCCCUAUUAGUAAAAAAGAAAGCAAUGUAGUGUGAGUUUUGGCUAGCUUGCCUCCCUCAAGAGGUCAGUAACAACAAAAAGAAAAGCAAAGCACCAAUACUGGAUUCUUGAGAUUUUGAAAUAAAUUUUUUAGCAUAAUUAGGUAAUAAUGAAUGUAUCCCAUUAGCUUUCUUUUAUUAAGCAAUUUUAAAGAAGUGGAAAUGUGUAUCAGACAAGAAAUUGGACAAUAAAAGAAAAAAUAGGUCAAGUUAUGAGUCAUGACUAUUUACAUUUCUAAUGAGGCCAUUGUGGCAUUGUGACCAGAAUCCAUGGUCCGCAGCUGAUAUGUUCACUACAUUAUUUGUUCCUUUUUUCAUUUUUCAUUUUCCCCCCAAGUAUUCUUACCACUUCAGUGUGCCAUAUGGUUCAUUUGUGUUAAAAUUGAAGACUAAUCCGCCAAUUGAAAAAUGGAGUUUGAUUUUUGUGCACUAACUUGGAAAAAGUUGAUAUAUUAAAUAAUAAUAGGUGGUCAAUAAAACUAUAGUAGUGACCAAACAAUACUGUUAAUGAUGCCAUGAAAAAAAUUGGCAAAAAGGGACUAGCAAUUAACCGGUAUUCUCAGAAUUUCAUUAGAUCUUUUGUUGAAAUCGAUGCAAUUGACAGGUGAAAUUUGUAUUUAAUAAACAUUUGGCUGUUUAAAGCAUUAAACUAUUUUGCAGAAACUAUAAGUUUCAUUUUGUUAUUGGGGUAAACCUCAAGUGAGAUAAAUGUAACCAACUCAAUUUACAAAAUGGUAAUUUGGGACUUUUAGAUAUAUAUAUAUAUAUAUAUUUUUGGUUGGUGCAUGCAACACAUGAUAGCGACUAAUGUCUGGGAGUAUUUGAUAUACGUUUUGUCAUUCAAGGGGUUUAACUAUAAUUUUGCAAAACAACAAGGUAGUUUUGUAAUUUGGUCAAAACCACAGGGAUGAUAAAUGUAAUUAACCCAAAAAACUAUAUAAAUAAUAUAAAUAAAAAUUUUCCAUUUGAAAUUCUCCUAGAUAAGACAAUUGUAUGAAUACUUAGAUCUAAAGUCAAAACGGGAAGAGGAAGGGAUGGAUUGGACAAUAUGGAAGGAAAGAAUAUAAGUGAGAGAUUUCAGUUCGAGGUCUCCGCUUACAUUAUAUUAAAAAAAAAAAGAAAUAAAAAGAAGAAGUCAGAACGGAAAGGUCCAAUGGAGCCCAAACAUUGGCCUUGAACUAUAGGCCCCCCAAACAAUUCUGUUCCAGUUCAAGGUUAAAUGAAAUUCACUUGAAUCAAGGAUCCAUGCCUCAUUAGUCUAUUUUAGUCCACUUCAAGUUUAAAUGUCUAUUUCAAAUUUUUGUAAAUCCUACUCUAAUUUGUUUAUAUUGUAUUGAAACUUAUGUACAUCUCAUUCUAACUUGUUUACACUCUAAAGGCCAGCUAAUUUGAUAUGGAACUUGUGACCAGAGAAGAAUGUGGAUAUAUGAUCAUGCCAGUAUCCCCUUAUUGGACCAUUCAUAGUACUGGAUUUUGGACAUAGUUCGAAAACCAUGGUGAAUAAGUGACUCGAAUCGUUGUCAAAAUAACUAAUCAGAAUUAAGUGCCCAUGCCAACAUGUCGUGGUUAAGCGAGGAUUAAGGGUCUAAGCUUGAGUCUACUUAACACUUCUAACUGGCAGUAUGCGAGAAUGAGCCUACACUUUGAUCUACACAUAGUGGACAAUCACUCUAGAUUUCAUUGCACACAAAAAUUAAAAGAAAAUGAAAAUCAAGAAGCCAAGUAGUCUCCUCACUAUAAUGUGAUUUGACCAUUUUUGGAUUGUCAUUUUUUCUCAAAAAAAUUUUACCUUUUCAUGAAUACAUUUUUCAAUCAUCAUAUAUAUCAAAUCGUUACAUUACAUUUUUUUUUAACAAAGACUUCAGAAAACAAUGAUCCAAACGGGAGCACAUUAUAAAUUAUUUUGGCCAGAAGGAAAUUUAUUUGCCAAUAUUCUAAUUCUCAAUUCAUAAAUAUUUAUAAAUGUUAAUGCAUCUUCUGAUUUAGUUAAAUUAUGUUUAACUCGAGAUCUACUGAGUGUAACACAUAAUAGAACCAUGUACAAUGUGUGUAUAGGUAAUUGAAGAAGACCACAAAUAAUAAACUUGGCAUUCAUGGACAUCCUCAUGUCAUAGUACUGUACAAGGUACUAUACAUUUUCGGUGUCAUAAAAAAAUUUUCGGUGGGCACAUUAAUGGCACCUGACUUAUUAGGCAGUGACAUGUUCUCGUUUUUGAACGUCAUAUAAAAGGUCUGGUACUACAAUGCGUCACAUUCCAACCCAGCAAAAACGCCUUUCAAGAAACAUGGACAAGAGCAUGGACAAGAAAAUGGCAGAAAAAGAAACAUGGACAAGAGCAAAAUUGAAAAAUAGAGACAAUUGGAGAGAGAGUUUAUGUUAGUCUUGAAAUUGAACAGAAUUGGAUUUCUUGAAUAUACUGCAAUUGCAAAACAAAGGGCCGUUAAAUCAGUUCUUAGCAUGUGGAUCGAUGAACAAAAUAUAAACUAUUUACUUUGCAUUGAGAUACAUAUACAGUAUCAUGUGAUUUUUUUUUUUUUUUUAAAAAAAAGGUUUAAAAUGGCUGAAGUGAUUUAGGCAAUUUUGUUUUCAUUUUGUAAGUGUAUUCUAACCAGAGUAAUGAGAGAAUAUAGUAACAUUGAUCUGAAAUUUCAAAACUUUUUAUUUUUCAAAACAAAAAUGUAUAAUUACCAGCUGGCGACCUGUCUGGUCAAGAAUUCCGGAUGCUGCUGAUGCAUAGUUAACGCCUUCAGUGAUGUCCUGGCCUUUGAUAUUUGCAAAUGGAGGCAUGUAGCCGGCAAAUCCAAGGAGCUCAGCUGCCAGAAACAGACGUAUACUUUCUUUCUAUCAUUAAGUAGCACAUAUCUAAGUGGCAAGCCCUAGCUUGUUUACGAAAUUCAUCUCUCUUUUUUUUCAGUCCUUAAACUUCAAGCAUCUCUUUACGAGAUAGAUUUCAUAUUUUAAGAGUAAUGUUCGAAGUUGAAGUUUAAGAACUAUAAAGUUGAUGCUUUCAUAUUUUAAGAGUUAAAAGUGUCCAAGAAUAAAAAUUAAAAACUCAGCUUGAAAUGCUUUUAGGAGUCCAAAGUGGAAUAUAGUCUUCAAUUCAUAAAAGAGUCCAUACGAAUCAAAAAACUUUUUGAAAGAAAUAAUACAAUUUAAAAAAAAAAAAAAAAAAAAGAAGUUUUGUGCUGGAUAUUGAAAAAGAAAGAGAUGGUUACCUAUGAAGUCCGCAUGGUUUCGCCCAUUGGUGAAGCGACCAGUUGGACCUUCCGGGAAAUCAAUGCCGUAAGGUGGAUAAUUUGCCUUGGCGGUAGUGUUCAGGUCAUUGUUGUUGCCAUUGUCAUCUUGUGAGUCACCGAAAAUGAAGUAACAAGGGACCUGUGGAUUGCCCAGAGCAAAUGGUUGCAAGAAGAAGAAGAUGACCAUUCCUACGACGGGCAAGAGAACCCAUUGCUUUGUUACAAAAGUCAUGAAUGCCGAUGAGGAAAGAAGCAAGUGAUAGGAAAAGCCAGACGCGGAGGUACCAAAGUCAUUGCCAAAAUAUAGAAGGCAGAGGAGCUAUUGCAGUUGGCUGUAGUGGUGGUCCACCUUGGGAGAGGGCGGAGCCACUCCAUCUCCAUGUGCAGCCUGUUAAACCUGACCCGGCAAAGGAGUCGGUGAUUGAUUCAACUAAUGAAUUGAUUGUUGAAUCUGUGGGUCGAUCACUAAAAAAAUAUUUAUAAGGGUAAAUUAUAUUAACUUCCCCUCUUGUUUUUACAAAAGUUAGGGAUCUCCACUCUUGAUCUCGGAACAAAGAGGACCUCCCCUCUUGUCUGCCAAAUAACAAGAAAAGCUUCCCUACCUAGCUAUGAUCAGGGGAGAAAUGUUAACUACUUUUGUCAUAAACUCAAUUCAAAGUCCCCAAACCACCAUUUCAAUGACACAAGUAAUUAUUUCCAAAAAAAAAUUAAGAAAAAUAGAGUGGAGUACCGAUCACACAUAAUUUUAUUUAUAGCCAUAAAAGUAAAUCCAUAAUACUUCUUUUCUAUAUUAGCUUUGCCACAAAAUAAGUUGAUGUCUUGAAUCAUUUAUGUAAUAUUCAUGUAUAUACAAGUUGAAAUUUUAAAUUGUUAAUAUAUUUGAUAAAUGUACAGUUUGGACACCUCAUUUUAUUAGAAUCCAAUUUAUUCUUGAAGUAGGUACACAUGCAAAUCUAUUAAUUUUGACUGGGAAGAAUAAAAAUAAUGAACAAAUUAAAUAUGGGAAAUCUUCAAAUUUUAAUGCAUAAAAAUCGCUUUAUUCUUCUUUUUUCCCCCCAUUUCUUAGAGAACUAAAGCUCUUUGUUUUGACAAUUUUCUUUUGUUUAAUAUAAGAUAAAGGGUAAAAAUGUAAAAUGAAAACUAUUGUAAAUGUUGACUUGAUGGAAGACAUUAUUGAUAAGAGAGGCUCAUGUUGUCUCAGAAUCACGAGAAGAGACCCCUGACUGUUGCAGGAAACUAGAGGGGAGGUCAGUGUAAUUCACCGUCUUUGCAAAUACAUGUGACAUAAUUAUUAGUUAUCUUGAGGUGCGUAGAAUUUAUAAAUAAAGUACUUCAUCAAUAUUAAUUAGUACAUCUAAAAAGAUAUAUUUUGAAUAUAUAAACUUAAUAAAUGAGUCAAUUUCUUUAUAUCAUACUUUAAAAAUAUAAAGCAUGCAUUCAAAGAUAAACAAAAAAUUAGCUUAUUUAUUAAAAGAAUAGGCUUUUAAGGAAAUAGAAUUAAGUUUUUGUCAAUACUUUGCCAAAAAAAUUCAAUUAAUUUUCAACCGUUGUUUACGUAAUAAUAACACUUUCAUAUUGAAAGUUGAAUUAAUUAUGCAAUAAUAAAGUAAACAAAUACAUUUGAAGGGACAUUUGGUCAACAAGUGAAAGUUUAUUUCCAAUAAUAAAGUCUUUUGCACGUCAAUGAAGACAUUCAUAUUUCCCCUUGAGAAAAAAUUGAACUUUAAACAAAAUUAUUUUGAGAUUCAAGGUCCAGACAUUGGUAAAAACAUACAUUUUGAUCCAAAAACAAAGACCUAUGUUAUUCAUCGCAGGGGAGGUUAGGUCAGUCCAAAUAAGGCUUGACCGAUUACAUAUUGUCAAAUUAAUAAGAUAAUUGUACACAGAUAUACAUCGGUCCAAUCUCAUUCCGAAUCAAUACUAUGAAGUGGACUCACAUUGGGUCUUAAUAUAUACAUGUGUGUGUGUGUGUGUGUGAGAGAGAGACCUUGAAGCAGGUUGGGCUUGGGCCACCAAGAUUUUAUUACCGGUUCGAUUUUAAUAUAUAGUAUCAGGACGUAGAGAUUAUGAAUUCAAAUUUCCUUUUCGCCUACUCUUUGUUUUCUAAAUCUCACCUCUUUUAAUUUUUUUUUUUAAAGUAGGUUAUAUAGUUGUAAGAGUAUAUAGGGUUAGAACAAUCACAGGGGCAAACUAGUAUACCAUGGUAUAAUCCCACCCCUUAUUUAUCUUGGGAAAACUGUUACCACCUCCAAUGUAAGAUUAUUUUAUCUUACGAAUGAGGGAUUAAUUUGGUAAAAUGAAAAGUCUAAUUGCAUAAAACUAACUAAAUAUGGGAUAACAUAAUAUUAAUAAUUUAAUCCUAUGUCAUCUCAUGCAACAAACUAGCGAAGUCUUUUAGACUAAUAAAGGCACGGUUUGAAUCCGAACGUAUUAUACUGACUGUCAAUUUAUUGUGGCAAAUCUGGAAAUCUAGAAAUGAGAAACAGUUCAAUGGUCAGGAAAGGAAUCCGUUAGUAGCAGUGAGUAAGGCAGUGGGGGAAUGGAAGGAGUUUCAGGAUGCUCAAGCAGAGGAAUUGGAGAGUCAGGGAAGUGGUAAGCAUGAAGCUGAGGGAUCAAGGGGGUGGAGGCUUCCUCAGGAAGGUUGGGUCAAGAUAAACACAGAUGCUGCAUUACAAAAGAAGGAAGGUCUGGCGGGAUGGGGAAUGGUUGCAAGGGAUUGGCAAGGGAAAGUUCUGAAAGCUUGGGCAAUACCAAACCGUAGCUGUUCUAAUCCAAAACUGGAGGAGUCAUUGGCUUUAAGAGCUGCCAUGUUGCUGGCAAAACAGCAGGGUUGGAAGAAGGUGAUGUUUGAAUCGGACUGCCUACAGGUGGUGGAGGAAAUUAACAAGGAGCAGUCGUAUGAGAUAGGCUCAGUAGUAUUAGAUGAUAUCAGGGAACUUAGGAAAAAUUUUUACGAAUGUUGUUUUACCUUUACUCGAAGAGUAAACAACUUUGUUAGCCAUAGACUUGCCAAAUUGGCAAUUAGCUUAACAAUACAAACUGAAUGGAAGGACAUCUUCCCAGACUGGCUGCCUGCACUGGUGCAAGCAGAUAUUGAGGGCAGUUGCCCAUCUUUCAUGUAAAGUUUAUGUUCAGUAAUAGAAUGUUACCGACCUUUUGACAAAAAAAAAAAAGAAUCCUCACUCAAUCAAACAUGUGAUUACAUAAAGGUCUUUUAGAACUAUAAGAACACUUAAUAAACUUUGAACGAGGAUUCUGCACAGACAUUGGGCUUUUACACAAUUCUAAUAGUAAUUAUAAAUGGUCUGAGAUUAAUGAUAACAUAUUGUUUCCAUUGAGGAGAUAAUGUCAUACUAGCACAUUCGGACUCUCCAGUUUUAUUACAUCGAGUUUGACUUGUUGGAAACUUGGAAUAUAGAAAUAUCAUGGGACACAUAGAUACAGUCUAUUGUAUCUUCACUUUAUCAUGACAGGUUUUGCCUGUAGGCCGCCAAUGGCAAGAGGAUCAGCAUCAAGUAAUGAGGAUAACGCAGAAUAUGCUAAUCUUGAAUAUGCUUCAUUGACUACUUCACUGGGAUGGAAAUCAUCCCAAAAAUAAUAUUGGUUCCUGUUGCUGCAGGGAAUUUGUCCAGGAAUACACUGUCCACGAGCAACUGUUGCAGACACGUUGCAGCAUGGUGCAUUGCCAAUUGUAAUUUCUGAAAUAGAUUAAGUGUAAGAUUGAAUUAAAAAGAGAGAACAGAACCGGCAAAAAAAAAAAAAACAGCGGAAUGUAAGACAGCAGGAAAGAUACAAUGACUUCAUUUGUUGAAAAAAAAAAAAAAGAAAACAAGAAACAUAAACUAACUAAGAUCUCCUCAACAAUAAUUUUUUGAAUGCAGUAUUUAUUAUUUAUUCAGGUUGAAUCUAUUUUGUGAAUCAAACAGAAUGUUCCAGUAAAAUAGGAGCUCAACGUACCUGCCGGGGUGGAUAAAUUGUUCAAAUUGAUUGCUCUCACAUCUACAUAAAGAAAUUGUGCAUCGCUUAACUCGGUAUUCAGUUCUUCAACCAGUGGCUUGAGCUUGUCAUUGAAUAACAGAACUUCAUCGUUAAUAGAAUCCACACAGUUACCAUCUGCAGAUAACUCAGCAGGUAUGCAGCCAAGCAAACCAAGCCCAAAAACAGCUAUUUUUCUUGCCCCCAAUCUGUACAAAGUCUAGCACCAAAAGGGUUUCAAGUUAAUUUUCUUUUUCUUUUUUUUUUUUUUAAAUUUAUAUACCUGGUGAACACGAAAAUAAUGAACGAAGACUGAAUUUUGUUAAAGAAAAAUAAACAUAAUAAUAACUAAACCAACCCGUAGUUGCUGAGAAUAAUGCCUAAUUAACAAGCUGGCAAAUUCUGUUGGAGUAUAUAGGUGGCUUGUAGGAUAAUAUUCUGGCAACAAGUAGUUGUUGAUGUAGUCAUUAUUCCCCAAUGCAGCAGUGUACAGACAUUUGGCCAGAUAUUCUUUUGUUGCAGAUCUGUUUCCAAUCAACCGCACGAUGCGCGAAAUUACUCUCUCGUGAUUGUGCAAUUGUUCGUUGAAGCUGAAGAGAUCGCCCUAUUAGCAAAUAAAAAAGCAUCAUGCAGAGCGGCUUUUGGUCAUGUUACCUCCUUCAUGUGAAAAUUAACAAUAAAAUAAAGAGCAAAGCACCUAUACUCUUUUUUCCCGCAUUAUAUUUAGAUUUUUUCUUUAAAAGUGGGAUUCUUAUGCUUUAUCUUGCACUGACACCUAAGGUGUUGAUCGCUCAAAAACCAUUGCAUCUACUUUUUGCCUUGCACAUACAUUAGGUUGUCAUAAAAUUCUUAUCCUUUUUCCCUUCUCAAUUACUCCUUUUUGUUAAAAUUUAUGCCUCUGAGCUCCCUUUCUUUGUAUUUUCUAAGAAAUUUUAUUCAAGCUGUAGGACUUAUCAUCUAUAAUUAGGCAACGAGAAUAUCUUUGGGUUAGCUUCCUUUUAUUGAGCAAUUUCAAAGAGCUGAAUGUGUUUAUCAAACAAGAAAUCGGACACUAAUAGAAACAAGAGAUCAAGCUAUGACAAUCUAAUAAAACCUUAUGCAUAAAUUGCCAUCUAUAGCGUGGGUUGAGCAGCAAAUUACUUCCUAUAGACGAUCAACCAGACGAGUGGCCCAGAUUUUUGGUACAGGAGAAGUGUGAAAGACAUUUAUGCCCUCAAUACAUAAUACUUUGGUAGUUCUAUUAUUUUUAAGAGUGGUGUUAUUAUAUUCUACUAGUAAAGAACAUUGUACACUGCUCUCUAGAAAAUGGUGAUACAAUUGUAGAUAUAAAAAAUGAAAUAAUUUCAGAAACCUCCCAUGAGUUUUCUGACACUUUCACUGACCUCUUUUGAAAUUUCAAAAAUUACACUAUCCUCCUUUGAACUUAAGGUUUUGGUAACAAAAUCAGUCCAACUCAGAAAAAAGCACUAUUGAAAAAGUAUUUUGAGGAGUGAGAUGAUAAUUUUCUUUCAUAUAUGCCCUUUUCUAAUUGUCUUCAAGUUGUAUUAGUAAAGCAAAAAAUAAUUAAUAAAAAUCAAGGAAUAUAUGUAAAAUUUGAAAAGAUGCAGCAACUAUAACCUGAAGCAACAAUGGUUUUUGCACAUGCUAGUGCAAAUUGUAAUGGCCAUAUUUUUUGUCAUUUGCAAGUUGCAACUAUAUAUAAAAGACACAACUAACUCUAUAAUGCCAUUAAAUUAUUGGUAUAAGCAUCUAAAUUUGGGCAAAAAAAUUAAUCUUUUUAUUGUAGUUGACGAGGUAAAAGUAAAUAUAUUGAUGCAGAAAACAUACAAGUCUUAGUCAACAAAUCAACAAUAAACAGUAUAAAUAGUUUUGUUUAACCACAAGAUUCAACAAAAUAAGUUAGUCAAAAAAAUUUUCUAUUUCUCUUGCUCAUAAGGUCUAUUUGUGCAGAUUAUAUAAGGUUGUCUAUUCCAAUUAUUGUCAAGUGAUAUCAAUCACAAAAAAAGUGCCAUCUUAAGAUAGCAAUUGAUGCAAUUUUUUGAUUGUAAUUAUGGUUGCUAAUUUGAGAUGAAAUAAUCAUAUUUUGGUUUAAUUAGUUAAUCUUAUUUAUUUAGUGCCCUAAUCUUUUUUUUUGUCAUAUAUCCAUUUGUAAUAAUGCAUAACAUCUUAGGGCAAAGUAGUACUUUCACUAUAUUUUAUAUAAGUAAUUAAUGGGUCCAAAUUUUUGGCAAGAGAGGUUAGUAUAAUUUUUAAAAUCUUAAGGGAGGUCAGUGAAAGUGUUAGAAACCUCAAGAGAGGUUUCUGAAAUUAUCCCAUAAAAAAUUACAUAAAUUAUUUUUACUAAAAAAAUUUAGUUGUGAUAAAUUAUACUAUUUAAUUUUUUUAGAAGAGAAUACCAAUAUAUAUUUGAAUAUCAAAAGGAAUUAUGAAUAAUGAGAAAGAAACAAAAAUUGAAUGUCAAAUAAUUUUUAUAAAUAUUUAAUUUCCAUUUGUUGUGAUAAGGAACUAUCACUAAAAAUACAAUACUUUUUUGUUGUGUAUAUACUUAACCGGUAUAUAAUAUCAUGUUAUGCAUGCACACAUAUAGUUACAUAUACACACACACACAUACAUACAUACAUAUGUCGGUACGUGGGCCAUGUACCCUUUUGCCAAUCUUGAAUUCUCGGUGCCAAAUUUGCAUAUAUAUGUAUGCAUGCAUGCAUGUAUAUAUGUGUGUAUAUGUAUAUCUAUAUAUGUGUAUGUAUGUGUUGCAUUUUUUGAAAGUAAAUUAAAUAUAUACUUUUUUUGAGUCAGAAAACAUUCAUUUUAGUAAUAAUUCCUAUAACAUUAAAUAAAAAUUAUUAUUCAUGAGAAAAUUUUCAAUUUCGUUUUUCCUUGUUUGUCCUCAUUAGUAAAUUCCUUUUGAUGUUUAGACAAUUUUUGAUACAUUCUUAUGUAAAAUAUUUCAAUAUCAUAAACUAUCAUAAGAAACUAUAUGUCGUUUAGUAAACUAAUUUAAGUGAUCUCUACAAUUACAUCUCCAAUUAUCACCAUUUUUUGGACAUCAAAUUAUUUUGUUAAUAGUUUAAUAAAAACAUUUUUUAAGGACAAAAUUGUCGAAGUAUUAUACAUCACAAUGCAUGACUAUCUUGUCAUACCUCUAUAUAUAGAAAUUUAACCCACAUGUUUGUUCGUUUGUCUAUAAAUAGCAAUUUAUCUGUUUUGGCAUUAUAGGUAGAGGGUUCAAACUUCAAAAAAAAAAAAAUGGAAAAACCAGUUGACGCAAUUUAGAUUGAAUUUCGGAUCUAGGUAAAAUCGAAAUAUAUCCAUUUAUAAUAUUUGAUAAAAUAGUUUGGGAAUGGAUAUUAAAAAUAUAUUUUCAAAUUACCAAUUACUAGCUGAAUUUUCAAUAUAUAUAUAUGUGUGUGUGUGUGUUAUAUAUGUACAUAUUACUAAAUAUUCAUUAGAAAUUAGUUAACUAUUGAUUACUCUAGUGCAGUAUUUACUAAUUUACUACUAACGAACUUAGUGAUUUCCCACUAAAAUUGGUCAAUAGCAGAGACAGGAGCAUGCAGAUUCUCUCUACCGGCUGGUUCUUUUUGCAUUGUCUCUAGAACCGAUGGCCUAAAGCUGGCAAGUUACUUUGUUUUCUUUCUUUUUCUUUUUAUUUUCAUUUUCCUUUUUCUUUCCUUAAGUAAUUUUACCACUUUAGCAUGCCAUGCGGUUUAACUGUGAGGAAAUUAUUUCUAAAGUGGAAAUUAUGUCAACAAUGACCCAACGUAUAUGAAAAGAUUUCAUUUGAAAAUUUCCUAAAAUUGACAUUCUAUAGAUACCUGUGUCUAAAUUCAAUACACAGACAGCAUUAGGAUCGGUAUUUGGUGGACCAACCAAAGAAGAAUGUGCAUAAGAUUAUGACAAUAUCCUCCAAUUCGAUCCGUAAACAGCCUAGAUACUGGACAUAGCUCGAAACAUGACAAAUAACUAUCCUGCUCUUCGUCAAAAUUGACUAAUGAAAAUAAUUCUGUAUGCCUAAAAUUCAGGAUCUACGCAGUCGCACCUACAAUAGCAGAAUACAUUUAAUUGUCGAAAUCGUGGCACAUUGGUUCAGUCCAGUUUGAUCUGAACAAUUCAUUUCAAAACAUUUUAAUUUGAAAUAAAUGGCAAGGUCAUAUGCAUUAUCUGAUUUGAACUACUAAUUGUACUGUGCAUCUACAGGUUCCCUCAUCCAAAAAGUCAGGAUAGUGUCAAAGCUUGGCCCUAUCCCUUUGCAUUCGAAGCGGCAGGAAUGCGCCUAGACUUCGAUCUAUGCUCAGUGGACAAUCAUUCUUGUUUUCCUUUUUCUCUUCUUUUAUUUAAAAUCAUGUAAAACGUGUAUUUAGAUACUUGAAGAACACCACAAAAAAUGAAUGGCCAAUAUUGAUCUAUUAGUACCGUACUGUAUUUUAGGAUCCCCCCUCAUUGUUUACCUCUCAAGAAAAGUUUGAUGGAGUGUCAUCAUCAUUUUGCAUAUUGAACUUUAUCAUGUUAUUCCUUCCCAAAAAAAAAAAAAAAAAAAAAAACUUUAUCUUGUUAUUGUAGUGCUACAAAGUGCAGACUUCAUUACAAGACAGCAAUCUUUUCUCACUUUUUGGAUGUAACACAAAAGGUUUGGCACACAACAUUACAUUUCAGAUUUUUUUUUUUUUUUAUGUAGCAUGGACAGGGACAAAUCUGGAAAAUUGGGGUCAAUUAAUGAUUUUAUGAGGAUGUUGAUAUUUGACAAGAGUUGGAUUUCCAAAAUUAACUGCAAUUACAAGACAAUGGACUACUAAACCAAUUCUUAGCAUGUGGAUGUACAAAUCUAACUAUUUAGUUUGCAUUAGCAAAAGUAGAUGCAUGCACCAUCAUGUGAUUAAAACAGAAGAAAAAAACAAAAGCUUUAAGAAUGUCGAAGUUAUUUCGGCAUUUUUCUUUUCUUUUGCAACCUUUGUUGUGGGAGUAUGUCAUCGGUAUCAACUUCUAAGCACCUAUUUUUUGAGAAAAUAAGCUGUCUGCUUACCAGGUGACGACCUGUCUGAUCAAGAAUUCCAGAUGCUCCUGAAGCAUAAUUAAUGCCUUUAGUGAUAUCCCGGCCUUCUGUAUUUGCAAAUGGAGGUAUGUAGCUGUCAAAUCCAAGGAGCUCACCUGCCACAAAGAGACGUACACUUUCUAAUUCAUACCACGAAUUAUUGGACCUGGAUCCUGUGCAACCGCAAGGGCAAUUGACAAAUUUGACGCUCCUUCAUUUAUUUAGUCAUAUUUAGAAAAUUUAACUUUUAAAAAUAAUAGUUUAAUUGUGAUUUUUGUGUUUCUUUUUUCUAAUUUUAUUCCAAUAAAUUUGAAAUUUAAAUUUAAAUAAUAACAUAAAUAUGAUUAAAAAAAGAAUUAUAUUAAAAAAGACACUAAAAUAUAUUUUGAUUUUUUUAUAUACGACAAUUAUUUUAGAACAUUACAGAAUGAAAGUACGACACUUUCAAUAUCAUGAUAUGAAGGGAAUAGUUUAGAUCAGUCCAACUAAAUUUGAAUUGAUCUCAACGGUUAACUUAAAAUUUAUUGAGUUGUUAUCGGCCGUCGAAUGGCCCAUACGGUUGUACGUAUAACUGCAACGGGUCCAAAUCCCAAACUGUUGAUGUUGAUGUAUAACAUACAGGGCUGAGGGCACCAAUGAUUGUCGUUGAGAACAGUUCUGAAUUGAAUUAUGUAAUAUUUUUUUGAAUAAAAUAUAAGUCUACAUAAAUUAUUUGUAAAAUUUAAUAAUAGAGACAUAAUUAUUACAUAUGGAAUUUACAUAAAUAGUAACAAAAUAUCACAUCCAUAUUAUAAAGAUGUAUAAAAAAAUUUACAUAAAAUUAUAAAAUAUUUAAAAAAUAUUACACUGUUUCCCGCUCUCAUAACAUACGAGAUGGCAUGCACUAACUAGCAGCUUGCCGCCUAUGGGAAAAUGUCUAUAAGAAAAAAAGUCUUUCUGAAAGACAAUAUAUAAACAAAAAAAUUCUAUAAUAUAUAGAAACAGGGGUUAAUUUCACUUUGUCCCCCCAAACUUUGGACGAUUACCCACUUCAGUCCCUAAACUUUAAAAUGGGAUACUUAAGUCCCUAAAACUUAUAAAUUGGGACACUUAAGUCCCUAAACUUAUAAAAUGAGUCACUUAAAUCCCUAAACUUAUAAAAUGGGACAAUUCGACCACCAACGGCAUUCAGGAUUCUGUCAACAAUUUUCCUUAAUUGGGAAGUAUUUAUAAGUUUAGGAACUUAAGUGUCCCAUUUUGAAGUUUAGGGACUGAAGUGGGUAAUCGUCCAAAGCUUGGGGGGACAAAGUGGAAUUAACCCUAGAAACAGUGACCAAGUCAAGAAUUUAUGAUAACAGCAGUGACUCGUGAAUAUUGAAUUAAUUCUUUACGAGUCUUAAAAAUAAUAGAAAUUAAAGAAGUCCGGAAAGCAAAAAUCGGGGGAUUUUUAGGGCGAGGGGGGUGAUUCUGAUAUAUGUCAUUUUAGUCAAAAUAGCAUGGGCACAAGAGAAGGUCAUUUUACAAAAACUUCAAAACUUAACAGAGAGAGAGUUAAAAGAAUAUUUUAAAACUUAGGGGGUGCAGCUCUUGGUCGCCUGCUGCCUCAGCCUCUAAUAAUGGAUAGGAUAGGAAAGAGAUAGUCACCAAUGAAGUCUGCAGGAUUUCGGCCAUUGGUGAAGCGACCGGUUGGACCUUCUGGGAAAUCAAUGCCGUAAGGUGGAUAAUUUGCCCUGGCAGUUGUGUUCAGGUGAUUAUUGUUGCCAUUGUCAUCUUGCGAGUCUCCAAAAAUGAAGUAGCAAGGGACCUGUUGUUCGCCUAGGGCAAAUGGUUUCAAGAAACAGACAACCACUACAAUGAUGGAUAGGAGAAACCAUCGCCUGGCUGCAAAAGCCAUGAAUGCAGAUUGACAAGAAGAAAAAGGCAAUGGUAGGUUUAGCAAGUCAGAGGAAAAGGCAAAUAUGGAGGCACCAAGGAUGCAGAGCGGGAGCCAAUAUUUUAUACAAGGCGGAAGCACUACUGUAAUUGGUCGAUUCUGUGGAGUGAAUUGGAACUCGUCAUUUCUUAGACAACUGAAUUUUGUACGUGACUGUAAAAAGUAUUUUUCUGGUCAUUUUGUUUGUGCAUGAAGAAAACUUUUUCAGUGUACAUACUACAUACUAUCAUUAAAUACACAAUUUGUAAUAAUAGUGUGUUUGGACAGCCAAUUAUUUGGCCAAAUAUAUUUGCUGACAUCACCAUCACAAUUUUCAAUACACUUUUUUAUCUUCUCAAUUACCUUUUUAUCUCACAUACAUCACAUCACAAAAAGUGCUAUAGUAAAAAUAUUUCAAAUAACUUACAAUCCAAACACACUCGUGUUUCAGAGAUAAUCAUGACGUUGAACCAAAUGAUAGUACUAUUUUUGUGUACUGUACAACUAUAGAUCAUAAUUGAAGAUCGGUUAUUUAUUUUUACAUAUCAAAAGUUUGAAGAUUUUUCAUUUAUUUUCAAAUAACACUUAAUUUAUACCGACUUUAAGAAAUUUUCAAUAGAAAAAAAAAAAAAAAAAAGAGUUGGGGCCUGGGGUAGCAAUUACCCGCCCUCGAUUGGACAUGGUUCCGCCCUGAUUCUGCCAGCCAUUAUUUAUGCACUACAGCCCACAAUAAUGCAGAAAGUAGUUACCAGCUGGAUUUUUAAUAUUUAAUUGGCCUAUGCUUUAACUUUAUACUGGAGCCAGUUGAAUUUUUAUUGUCCUUUGGUAAAUCCGACAAGGAUUACUGAAAAGUGGGGGGUGACGGUUUUGCACAUCACAUCAAUGUCCAAUGCAGUACUGCAUGCGAAAGCACUGCAAUGGAAUGGCCUUCUCAUCUUAAACAAGUUUCCGGAGUUGGAUGCAGCAGGAAUUCAAAAUUCCAUAUGUAGUAAAAAUUUUUUUUAAAAAGGUGUUAGAGCACCUCUUUAAUUUAGUUAGAUUUGCAUACCUGUUAAUUGCUUAUAUAAUCUCUUUAAACUUCCCUUCCUUGCAAAAUAUAGAAUAGAUUAGAUUAUAAAUAUAUUAUAAAAAAAUAUGUACACCGUCCUCUCUAAACUCUCUUCUCUAUAAAAUAGGAUAUAUUAUAUUAUAAAAAUAUUAUCAAAAAUAUGUACACUGUCCUCUUUAGACUCUUCUUUUUGUAGAAUAUGAUAGAUUAUGUUAUAAAAUGGUUGUAGCAAAAAAAUAUAAAAAAAGUACAACGCCUUCAAUAUUACUCUGUAACCUACUUUAUUUGGAUUGAGUGUUUUUUUUUUUGACAAAUUAUUUUUGUUUGUGAAAUUUAUGGUAACAAACUUCAAAAAUAACUCUAAAAACACAUAAUUUCAAAUACAACUUAUAAAAAUAAAAAUUAAACUAAAAAAAUUAAAUAACAAAUGUAACAAAUCCUAUCAUCCAUUUUUCUUCUAUUCACUACCCAUGACAUACCAUUACCUACCAUUAUCCAUGUCCUCGUCCCUCCUCCUCUGCCUCUUCCUUCUCCUCCAUUUUUCUUUUCCUCCCCUUCCCUCUCCUCUCCCUUCCACUGCUGGCCCCAGCCAAGCCUUUCCCCCCUCUUAUUUCCCUUUUGGUUGCAACCAAAAUGUCACGAGAGAUCCGGUUGCCACCAAAAGAGGAAGAAAUAGGAAGGGGGGUCAACGAGAGGUGAGAGAAGGAAAGAAAGAGGAAGGGCGAGGAUGGAAGAGAGAGGAGGGGAAGGGGAUAGUGACAACAGUAGAGGAAGGAGUAGGGGAGGGUAAUGGACUAUUUUAAAACAAAUUUAUAAAAAAUAUUUAAAAAUUUUUAAAUUCUAAAAAUACCUCAAAACACAGAAUUCAAAUGAAUAAUCUACAACAAAUUUUUUUUACAUAUAUUGCUACAGUAAAUUUUUUGAAAAAGAACCCUAAAAAUAUCUAAUUCAUAUGGAGUUUACAAAGAUAUUUUAAGUUUCUAGUUGGAUAUGUUUUAUGCUCGAAUGCUCAAUAUAAUUCCAAUUAUAAAUUAUUGGCACCACACCACAAUUCAGAACAUAUUACAUAUGGAAAGGAAUAAGCAUUCCAUGAUGAAGAGGUAGAUGCCUUGUUUUUUUAAGCAAUGUAGUGGUUGAUGCGUGAUAGCCGUUUACCAGUUAUUAAUAAGACUCAUAGUCAAUUUUGUCUUAAGUUACGGAACAUAUUAUUAAUAUUAAUAGUUAUAAGGGUAAAGUGUGUGUGGGUCAUCAAACAUUUCAAAAUUUUCAUUUCGCCUACAAAAUUAUUUUUCGUAUCGAAUAUCCCACCGAAUUUCUAAAUGUUCUUCAUCUUGAUCACUCCGUUAACUCUAACUGCUAAAAUGGAUAGAAGUUAGUCCAUUUGACAGGCCGGCCUGCUUUAAAUAGAUAAUUUGGACAUUUUGCCUGAAACCAUCCGACUCUAGCUCGUUUGGGAGGACGGAUUUGGUGAGAAAAGAAAGAACUAAGAAAGAAAGUAAAAUCAUUUAGCAUUUGGGAGUUUUAAUAGCAAGGAAAUAGAAAGAAAAGGAAGGAUCUCACGUCCUUUCAAGUUACAAAAACCCUCAGCCCAAAAUUAGGCGAAAAGCAUGAGAAAGGAAAGUGAAUUAAAUUUGAUGACCUAUUGACAAAAAAAAAAAAAGGAAAGUGAAUUAAAUAAAUAUUUUAAUAUAUCGAUUUUGCCUUUAUAAAGAUUAUAACAUAACAUUUUCCUAUAUUAGGUGAAUUUCAAGUUUCAAGGGUACUAAUGUAAAAUAGAAUCUUUUCCUUUUACUUCUCUUCACUCCCAAAUAAAAGAUACUCACUUCAUUAUCUUUCUUUGCAAAAACUCCCAAAUAACAUGAAGAAAUAUUACAAUCUCUUCUUCUCUUUUCUAACUUAAGCUUUCGCUUCUUUUCUAUUCUCUCCCAAACUAGCCAUUAAACUUUCAGCUCCCCAUUCGAUGACCCAUUUCUUGUUUAUCUAUUUUCUCUUGGAAUCUAACUCAAUCAUUCUCUCCAAGCCUUAAUAGUUUCUUUUGUAGUCUUGAAUUUUUUUUUUUUUUUUAGUCUCCUGUACAUACAAGUGAGGUUGGGGCAACUUACAUAAAUUUUGUUUCUUUUUUCUAUUGGGAAUCUUUAGAAGGAAACUCUUUAAAAUUUGUGGUGCUCUCCUUUGGUCUGGCUGUCAAGAUUUGAGGGUUUUCUUUUCAAUGCAAUCCUUUGAUUAUUGGCGUUUCUUUAAACCAAUGACACUGAAAAAAAAACCUUGAUCUUAGUGAUUAAUUUUUGUACUAAUGAUUUUAACAUUGAAAAUUUCAUGGGUUUCAGUUUUAAGAAGUAUUACACUCUUUUGGACGUAGCUACUAACUAAACAUAAAGCAAAAACCAUAUACCAGCAAAUAAGUAGGUGGGCUUCAUGCAAAACAUUCAAAUUGUCCAUUCAGAGGCGUUAAUUGUCGUCUAUCUUAACAGCAAAAGCUAAUUGAAUGGACAGUAUGAAGCACUUAAAGUUCAAUGUGCUAUUUGACCUGAAAAAUAUAUAUUUCAGUGAAUGAAAUAAGAAUCUUGAAAACUCUCCUGUGUUCCUUACCCUAGUCAUAAUUGAGGAAAAGUUAAAAGCCCAAAUUGGAUGAUCGCUUUCUAGGGUGCUUUUAGAGAAUAUAAUUGUAAUGCACUUUUCAAUGAAUAUAUACGUGACAUGGAGUGAUAAUUGGGUAACGUGUUUAAAAAUUUUCAAAAACAUACUAGCAAUUUUUUUUGGGGGGGGGGGCUGUUCUCGGACUGAGUAUUUCACUUGACUUCAAAUUCUGAUGUUACAUAAUUCAUGUUUUUUGACAUUCGUUCUCUUACGUUUGUGCAUAGAUUUAGAUUUUUUUUAAUGGUGAAAAAAAUGUUGGAAGUCCUGAACUUAAAUAACAGUAACUUUUGCUCAUUCUAAUUAAUUAGCUUUUUAUAAAAUUCACAGCUGACAACUGCCUUUCUUGUAACAGUAAAACUCACAAUUGCAUGUAUAAUCAUUUUCAAUCACCCGAUUACCUUCAUCAAUCCAUUAUUAGGUCUUCGAAACAUGCCAAUCCCAAAAGGACACCUCUUAAAGUGUAAACCAAUGUCCUUGGCUAAUGCAUCACAUAUAAAGUGAAUUUUAAUUUUAUGCACCGAGUACACCCAAUAAUGUCAUGGGCUGAAGCCUCAUAUAAUUUAUCUCACCAGAAUAUAGUAGGGAGUUUGUUAGGCGGAGAAUUUCGACAUAGAAAACUUUGUUUUUUUUUUUUUUGAGGGAUCCACAUAGAAAACUUACUAACCUUUUUCCUUGUCGUGUAUCCAUUUUACACGGUUUAUAGGGCUAUAUACCCCAUAUUCCGAACUCUAUGGCAGACAUGACAGUAGCUCAAAUUCAACGAGCAAUGGGAGAUGCCAGGAACGAUAACCAUGAAGCCAUCAAAAUGGCAAUUGUACAAGUCUUGACAUGUAGAAAAAAAAAAUCAUUAUCCACUUAGAAUUUUCCCUGUACUUUCAGCCAAUCUCCAACCACAAAUCUGCCCAAACUACCAAACAAAUUACUCAGUUGUUUUUACUUGAAGUGGCAGAGCCAUCUCAUUACGAGAGUAACAACUCAUAUGGGUUGGCCUACUCUCAGAACUCUUCACAUGUGAAACAGGAGGUGCACAGGAAAAAAGGGUACAAAAGGACCGUUGUCAUUAACGGACAAUUUUGUCUCCCAGCUAGAUAUAUAAUGUCCCAUUUCCAUUUAUCAUGUUCUUGAACCAGAGAAAUCAUCAAGUCUCAAAUAAACACAUAUAGAGUAGUAUUCAUUCUUACUGCUAUAUUUUUUUUUAUUUAACUUUCAUCUUGUACUUGUUUAUUUUAAUUAUGGUACAAGGAGCAAUUUGAAUAAGCAUUGUAUGACUAGUUAGAUUGAAGCUAUGAUAUGAGAAACUUGAAUAUGGGUUUUGUAAACUACUGUACUGUUGGGGAGAAAACCCUGAGAACCAAAUAAAGAGGUCCAAUAUAUGAAUGCUCAUAUUACACCCAAGUUGCUUCCCUAGUCCACCGCAAUACUCAAGACUAAUUCAACUAUUUGGAGCUAAAUCGUGGACCCUAUUUUCUUCAACACGUUAAUAGAAUCCCCGUCAAACCCCUAGUUCCAAGAUAUAUACACCAACUAGACUUAACAUAUUACUGGCUGCAUGGCCCAACAUAAGACGAUAACAAUCUAUCCGUCCGACAAAAAGAUAGCAAUUUACUGAUCUAUUAUUGAGAAGAAACAACUUGCAAAUAUGUAGCCUAGACUCAAACUCGAAACCUUUUUAUAAAGUGUAAAAUGAAAGAUCUCAAAUUUAGAAUCUCUCACUUACACUCUCUUCUUCUUCUGUACUAUUCAAUCUAUCCCUUUUCCAUAACUCGAAAACUUUGAUACCAUUGGUUGAGAAAAAAAAAAAAAAAUCAAAGAGAGCCCAUCAUAGAGGCAUAAAAUAUUUGGGAGCCUAAUGCCGAUGCAAAAGGUUAAAUUGAUAGGUCUUAAACCCUUAUCUAUAUAUUAAAAACUCUUUUUUUUUCUCUAAAAAUAAGGUAGGAUAACUAAUUUUACUCAUGAACCUAAAAAUUGUUCAAUUUGAUGGACCGGGAAAUGAACUUGCCCAGUUAACUUAGUCUAAUGUCUAGUUGACUCAUGAGACGUGUCCAGUUUCAUUACUUUGGAACUCCAACAUAAACUUACCAUGAUCACUUCAGAAGAAAAUAUUAUAUAUGAAUUUCCUCCAAUAGCCACUUUCCUCCUUAAUUCAAACAUAGACUUCCUUCCUUUAGCUAAUACACCACUCUCUAUAAUUCAGACCCCAUUCCAGCAUCUAGGAGGAAUAUUCCACCAAAAUGUGAACCCCCAAAAAAAAAAAAACAAAUAUGUAAUAGACUCUUAGGUUAAUGUGGUAUGGCUGAUGAAGCCAGUAAUAUAUACAACCACACAAUUGAAGAUAAGAGUUGAUGGUUCGGGAGGCAAUGAUCAUUUUAUGGACGAGAUGCGAGUAAAGUUGCGGGUAAUGUCCGGCAAUUAUAGCAAGACUUUUCAUGUACUGUUGUCCUACUCUAGUUUUGUUCGGUAUGAAAUGGUAAACGAUUUCAUCUCAGGAUUUUUGUCUAAAGAACGUCAACGUCUAAACAGCUGCAAAGCAAUUUACCAAUUUAGCAUACAAUAACCCUUCGCGCAAUUUAGCAUUUAACCUAUUUCCAAAGCACCAUUAAAUCACUAUUAGUUUCCUUCUUUAAUUGAUUUAUGUUGGCAAUCAUUUCUUUAGCUUAUGAUAAGUGAAUAAUUUACGUAAUAAUUGUAUGAUAUUUUAUAUUAUUUUUAGUCACUUUGGUUAUAUUACUGGAAAAAAAUGAAUCAUUUUGGCUAUAAUUGGUGAAAAAUGCUUUUAAGUGGUUAAAUAAGGUUUUUAUCACUUUUUACUUGGAUUUUAUGCAUUUUGACAGUUUUGACACAUUUUCAUAUUUCGGCUAUAACUUGAGCUACAAUGAUCGGAUUGAGAUGAUUCUUAAACCAAUUUGAAGAUAAGAGAUAGAUCUACAACUUUGUUGAAGACAUCUGAAUCCAGUUUGAAGGUUUUCCAGGUCAAAAAGCCGAAUUACAAUAGCUAAUUUCUAUUGGUCGAAGCUGAAACAGAGAAGUGAGCAGUCAAGGAUAUUUUGGUCAUUUCUCAACCUACACAGAUCCAAAUAUGGUGAUUCUUGAUGCAUUGGAAAGAUAACUCAAAGGGCUACAAGUUUUAUGUUUUGGUCAAGAGCUAAAUCAUCUUUUAUCAUCAAGAAAAGUUCAGUUGAAGUUGACGCAAAAUCGGAGCAGAGCUGGAAAUUGAACAAAAGUGUACCAAAAUGUCACUGUAGCAAUCCGGUCGGAACUUAGCCGGAUUUCUGGCCGGAUUGUGGUCAGAGAAGGCUGCUCUUUACGCGGAAAACUUAUUUUCACCUCCAACAAGUCACAUGCAAUGCCAGACAUGUGAGAACUACUUUGCAGCUGUAAAAGGGUGGUGUAGGCCUCAUUUUCUUGAUUUCUUUCAUCUUUAUAUAGCCAAAACUUGCAAGAUUGAAAGAAGAAUAGAGAGACAUACGGGAGAACUUGGAGAGUGCAGAGAUGUAACUCUUACAUCUUUUGAGUGUUAGAUUAGUUUUAAUAUAGAUUAGUAUAGUUCAUCCAUUCUUGUAUAUUGGCUAGACUAGGAUGAAGAUGGAAAUGAAGAAGGAGGAGUUGAAGCUCAAGUGACAUGGGUUAUCUCUUCUCCAACUCUUUAUUUUUUGUACUUGAUUCCAAGUUUAGUUAAUAUGCAAAUUCUGGAUUUUGUGUUUAAUAUGUGUCUCUAAAGUUUAUGCCUUGGGUUUGGUUGAACUUUCUAUAAUUGUUAGUGUUUAUUAUUUGAUUAUUUGAUUGCUAUGCUUUGAGCAAGUUAUUUAGCACUUUGACUCUUUAAAUCAUGAUUAAUUUGGUCCCAUUAAUUGUGAUUAUCUAAGGUGUUGUUUCUGCAAUGAAAAUUAAGAUUUAAUACUACUAGUUCAAGAAGUGCUAAACAUAGGGAGUACACUAACGAAAGUAGAGGUGCACCUAUGUGGUUUUUAGUGAUUCAUUUCAUGUAAUUUCACUAAAGAAAUGAACUUGUAACUAAUUUCAUAACCACGAGAAUAGGUAUGGAUUAGUUAUAAGUAUAAUUGAUUCACUACGAAAGUAAGAUUCAAAUGCAUAAGGAAAUUACACCAUAACUAGCCUAGAUAUAAUACUCAAUGAUCCAAAUAUAGCACUUGCAUGAGUAGUUGGGGAUACCACAAUCUAAGGAGCUUUUAUUUGUUAUUUUGUAUAAUUUCAGUAGGUUAAAUUUGUUAUAAUUCGUUAAUAGUCUAAAUAAUAGAGAAGCUUUAUUAAUACAGGUAAUUGUUCACUCUUUCUCAUGGGAUCGACCCGAUAUAUAUCCUAAACUACUAGUUGACCUAUAUACUUGCAGUGAACGAGUGUAAUUCAGUUUUUAACUUGCGCGUAUAUUAAAAUCCCGUCAGCUUAAGAAGUUCCUUGUUUAAAAUCUUUUCCAUCUCUACAACUGUCCUUGCAGGAAUGUGAUGCAGUGGCAGAAGAUUAUUUCUUUGCAUACCCUGACCAGGUCACCUAAAAUAAAUGUACAGACUGAUUUUUUUGGGGGUUACAAAUUUGUAUAUUAUUUGGUUGAAUGGCUACCCACAUCAAAGUAUUCAGAUAAUAUAAAGUUCAUAAGUUCACAAAAAAUAUCCAAAAGAUUAAGGGAGAAAAAAUAUCCAAAAGAUUAAGGGAGUCAUGGAUUUGAUGAAUGUCUGAUAUGAAUCUUGGGUUGACUUGGUUUAUUAUCAUAUUAAAUUUCACUUUUAGACACUUUCUGCUCUUAAGACCUUCAAAUUUGUUCCAUUUAAAUUCAAUCGAUAAUAUUAUUAACAAGACUAACAGAAUAGGGAUACAGUGCAAAUCAAUAACAAAUUGAUGAAUAAGGUUAGAAAGAGUAAGGGGAUUGUAAUUGGAACAAAAUUAUGCAUUCAUACGUACACAAAGCAUAAAACAUGAUAAUUAUUCAUUGCUGUAAAAAGUGAAAGCGGUGGUAGUUUAACUUAGUAAUUUAACAUUAAACAAGAAAAAGAAGUACAACUUCUGAACAAGUCUUUGGUACAUCACGUUUUGCAGUUACUCAGACACUCAACAACAACUCAACAGUAAAAACAGCAAAAUGUAAAUAGUUAUUAAGCAGGUAGACCCUGCAAGACUCUUCAUUUGAUGAAAAUUCUCCAUGUUCAAAGUUGAGCUAAGCGACUUAUGUCAAUUGGAUAUGCAUCU